Molecule: ribosomal RNA, 255 nt
Filed under: uncultured bacterium
Lineage: Bacteria
Description: partial 16S ribosomal RNA
Rfam family: Bacterial small subunit ribosomal RNA
Source: RNAcentral
CGGAGGAUCCAAGCGUUAUCCGGAUUUAUUGGGUUUUAAAGGGUGCGUAGGCGGCCUGUUAAGUCAGGGGUGAAAGACGGUAGCUCAACUAUCGCAGUGCCCUUGAUACUGAUGGGCUUGAAUGGACUAGAGGUAGGCGGAAUGUGACAAGUAGCGGUGAAAUGCAUAGAUAUGUCACAGAACACCGAUUGCGAAGGCAGCUUACUAUGGUCCUAUUGACGCUGAGGCACGAAAGCGUGGGGAUCAAACAGGAUU